Equus asinus (donkey) is the source of this 2171-nucleotide long non-coding RNA. NCBI's taxonomy places the organism in Eukaryota, Metazoa, Chordata, Mammalia, Perissodactyla, Equidae. The record is from Ensembl.
GUCAGAGAAACAGGAAGAAAGUCUUCCUCCAGGGGAGGGGCUAGACUGGAAAGUUCCACAGAAGGUGCAUGGUUUGGAUAGCUUUUCAUAACUGGAAGAUAACAAGACUGCGAGUUAAGAGAGAGAAGUGGCUUGCCGACAUUAUACAGCAAGGAAAGUGGCUCCACCAUGAACCACCCCUAGCCUGUGCUACUCCAGAGAAGAUGAAGAAACAACCUAGCAAGGUUAGGAAAUUUGCCCAAAGUCGCAUAACCAGGAUGUGAAGAAACUGGUCUUUCUGACUCCAAAGUUCAUACUUUUCCUCUUACGCCACAUCCCUUCUCUGGCACCAAUCACCUUGAAUUGCAAAUACUUCUUGUCACUGUCUUCGCCAUGGCCUGCGAGCCCUACAAGGCAGUUGGUGGCUCUGAUUUCGGGACUGUGACCCCACUGCCCAGUAAGGGGUUUGCUCCCAAGUGUCUGAUCCUAAAAGUGUAAUGGGAGUGAGUGACUUGUUCCAUUUGCAGGGACCCAGCCUGGAAAGGAAAAGCAGUAUGUUUGUCCUCUCCCUGUGCAGGGACAGGCCCACUAUCUCUCCUGGAAGGCGAUAAAGGGGCAGCUCUUGCCUCCUUGAGGACUUACAGAUGUUUCCUGAGGCCAUGAGGGCAUUUCUGCCUCUUGCCAGUUCAUGUGAGCGGCGGGGAAAGCCAGCCUCAUGGCUCUGCUGGUGUGAAUGUCAACAACCAACUCUAGCCAGCAACCUGGAAAUUUCUCUGCAACGUUAAGGCCAGUAGAGGCCCACGGAGGAUGGAGGCCCCAUCACCAGCUUGUCGGAUUCUUGCUGAAGACCUGAAAGAGCUCCACCGUAGAGACAGCAGGACCUGCUGGUUGAGACCUCCAGCUCUGCAGUCACCUCUAGCCUGGAAAACCAUCUCCAUCACUUAGUAAAUCUGUGGCCUUGGCAAGUUUCUCAACCUCUCUAAACCUCAAUUACUUCACUUUUAGCAGAGAGUAAUUCCUUCCUUUUCAAAAUUAUGUACAAAAAAAGAUAACGUAUAUAAAACCCUUACCACCAAGCACAGUGCUCGCAUACAACAAUAACACUAAUGAUGAUGGUAACAGUAAUAAUAACUUAGUAUCAAACUAUCCGUUGUAGAUUUUUGUUGUUUGCAGCUAAAAAUCCUGACUGAUAUGGUGAAUGUGAUUUGUUGGGGGAGCAGAGUGUUUUCUAGAAGGACAGGCCACUUGGACCCGAGAGGUGGUUUCCCCCGGUCCAGGACACGUGCUGAUGGAGAAAGCGAUCUGCCAUCUUUUGGGUGUGAGCAUGUGCUGCUCCUGCUCUGGACCCCAACUCCUGGAGUAACCUGAGAAGGGAGAGACCUGGUCAAGAUUCUGUCCCCAGUCUUCUUCUUUUUUUUCUUUCUUUUUAAAGAUUUAAUUUUUUUCCUUUUUCUUCCCAAAGCCCUCCAGUACACAGUUGCACAUUCUUAGUUGUGGGUCCCUCUAGUUGUGGCAUGUGGGACGCCGCCUCAGCGUGGCUCGAUGACUGGCACCAUGUCUGCACCUAGGAUCCGAACCGGUGAAACCCUGGGCUGCCGCAGCAAAGCGUGAGAACUUAACCACUCGGCCACGGGGCCAGCCCCAUCCCCACUCUUUUGAAUCCCAAGUAGCAAACAAUCAUUUCUUUGUCCCUACUACCUAGUAUAGGACGGAACAAUUAGCAGUUAUUAAAAUUAUAUGCUAUUUUUAAAAGAAAGUGAAUAAUCAUUUAUAUUGAACAAUAUUUAAAAGUUAGAAAGUAUUUUCACAAGGAUUACUUUAUUUCCAUUGUUUACGCAUGCAAAUACCCACAAAAAAAGAGAUGAGCUUUAUUUAAAUCCUUCUUGAGCUCUUCCAGUUUUCACCCACAGGCCUCCAGGGAAGAAACUGAAAGACUUGUGCAAUUUUGGAUUGUAAUCUUUUCACUGGACAUUCUUUCGUAUAUAUUUUCCGUGUCUCCAUGAGAUUUAUAUCUGUCAUUUUUAAGCGUGUCAUAGUAUUCCUUCAAAUGAAUGGGCCAAACGUUGUUCAUCUACCUGUCAUUUGGCACCUGAAAGUUCCAGGUUUCUGCUAUCAUAUGUAAAACUAUCAACCUUUAUUAAAACAAGCUUUUAAAACAAUUUUAGAAGUAUUUCUUUAGGGCUGAUUCCUAG